UGGGGGACCCAGAGCCAUAUGAGACUAAGGGUCUUUAUUCUUUGAAGCAAGUACAUUUUAUACUGUUCUCAACAGGCAGAGAAGCAAGGAAGAAGAUGCAGCUGCAAGGCUAAAAAUUGUUGCUGGGAACCAGUCAUGCUUUAGGCAAAUAUUUAAAAAACACUGCGGCCUUGUUAAUGAUUUAUAGAUAGGCUCUCCCCUGAUUUCUUGGGCACUAGAGAGUGUCUCAAGGGCCUGUGUGCUCUGCCCCAAUUCUCAGGAUGCUGAGCCAAGAAAACUAUCUGUAGUCUCCUUGUUCUGGCAUGCCAGGAACCUCGGAAUCAGUCACGUGAUCAUCAGGAGGCGAGCAGCACGUCCUGAGACGACCUCUCAAAGCAAACUGUGGAAGACUGUUGCCUGUAUCGUCAGAGGUGAAGAUGAGCUGUCUUCGGAGCAGUUUCUCAUGCGUUAACCACAUUCUCUGCAGACAAGUGUAACACAUUGGCUGAUGGGCCCCUCAUCAAAUGAAAAUGAACCACUUUUAUCAAUGAGAACGUGGAAAGCACAGAAUAAUGCUGUCUUGGGCUUAUAUACUGAAUAUGGAGUUUGGAGUUGGAGGAUAAUAGACUAUUAAAAAAUGAGAAGAAAGACC
RNAcentral lists this long non-coding RNA (631 nucleotides) under Heterocephalus glaber (naked mole-rat). Its description in RNAcentral is "lncRNA (ENSHGLG00000043277.1)". Lineage: Eukaryota; Metazoa; Chordata; Mammalia; Rodentia; Bathyergidae. The record is from RNAcentral.